RNAcentral lists this ribosomal RNA (479 nucleotides) under uncultured bacterium. Its description in RNAcentral is "bacterial SSU rRNA". It matches the Rfam family "Bacterial small subunit ribosomal RNA", at positions 501 to 982 of the family's 1533-position model. The record is from RNAcentral.
CUACGUGCCAGCAGCCGCGGUAAUACGGAGGAUGCGAGCGUUAUCCGGAUUUAUUGGGUUUAAAGGGUGSGUAGGCGGCCUGUUAAGUCAGCGGUGAAAUCUAGGAGCUUAACUCCUAAAUUGCCAUUGAUACUGGCGGGCUUGAGUGUAGAUGAGGUAGGCGGAAUGCGUGGUGUAGCGGUGGAAUGCAUAGAUAUCACGCAGAACUCCGAUUGCGAAGGCAGCUUACUAAGGUACAACUGACGCUGAAGCACGAAAGCGUGGGUAUCAAACAGGAUUAGAUACCCUGGUAGUCCACGCAGUAAACGAUGAUAACUGGGCGUAUGCGAUAUMCAGUAUGCUCCUAAGCGAAAGCGUUAAGUUAUCCMCCUGGGGAGUACGCCGGCAACGGUGAAACUCAAAGGAAUUGACGGGGGCCCGCACAAGCGGAGGAACAUGUGGUUUAAUUCGAUGAUACGCGAGGAACCUUACCCGGGAUU